UUCCUGAUUUCUAAAGCGGUUUGCGGGAAAUUAAAUAGAUUUUUUGCACACUCUGUUUAUUUCAUAUCACUAAUUUUAGAACUAGUAUCAGUUUUACGGAUAUUUUUAUGGUUUUUGAUGCUGAGUGCGCUAACAGCUAACAGCUAGUUAAAAAAACUGACUUGAUAGCACAUUGUUAAGCUAGUUACGUUUUUCUCGUUUCGACUGUAUUUGCAGCAGUUUAAACGCAACUGUCCAUUUCUCGCUGUAAACAUCAAUGCCCAGACCUCUACUCAAGGAAGUAAAGGAGACUUUCAAGCAGUGAACUUUAAUGGUGAUGGAGAGUGAUGGAUAACCCGACAGCAAAUAAGAGCCACAUUCCCUGUCCGUCUUGGAUGGCCCAGAAUGGCUGGUCAGGAGCUUCAUCUCAGAACCCGCUUGUCAGCCUUCUCCCCACCUCCUAUGACCACAUGCAGGCAUCUCAUCAGAGUUGUACUAACAACUUGAACACUGUAUCUUCCAGAAACAACCCUCAUGCUGACAUGUAUAAAACCUCUCAUAUUGGCAGCAUUCCAUCAUCCAGCUCGCUGUUUGCCACAGAUAUCCCAAAUCUCUCUCAAGGUAUUUCUUUUAAUCAGCAAAGCUCUAACCUUUCAUCGAUCAUGGUAUCAGCGAACCAAGGAAAAAAUGUUACCCCACCAGCUCUUCGACAGUCAAACCAAGGA
Molecule: long non-coding RNA, 704 nt
Organism: Haplochromis burtoni (Burton's mouthbrooder)
Lineage: Eukaryota; Metazoa; Chordata; Actinopteri; Cichliformes; Cichlidae
Exons: 2
Source: RefSeq, a predicted model, not a curated record